AUCACUUCUCAGCCUUUUGGCCAAGAUCAAGUGUAGUAUCUCUGUACCUUUUUGCAAAACUUUUCUGGCUGUAAUUCUUCAACUAAGCUAAGUUUUGAAGUAAGUCUGAAUAAAUUCAGACACUGAAUAAAUUCAGUGCCAGUAACAAUUUGGUUCCCAAACUG
Molecule: small nuclear RNA, 164 nt
Filed under: Procavia capensis (Cape rock hyrax)
Lineage: Eukaryota; Metazoa; Chordata; Mammalia; Hyracoidea; Procaviidae
Description: U2 spliceosomal RNA (ENSPCAG00000020500.1)
Rfam family: U2 spliceosomal RNA
About the family: U2 is a small nuclear RNA (snRNA) component of the spliceosome (involved in pre-mRNA splicing). Complementary binding between U2 snRNA (in an area lying towards the 5' end but 3' to hairpin I) and the branchpoint sequence (BPS) of the intron results the bulging out of an unpaired adenosine, on the BPS, which initiates a nucleophilic attack at the intronic 5' splice site, thus starting the first of two transesterification reactions that mediate splicing.
Source: RNAcentral